Molecule: unclassified non-coding RNA, 478 nt
Filed under: Hevea brasiliensis (rubber tree)
Lineage: Eukaryota; Viridiplantae; Streptophyta; Magnoliopsida; Malpighiales; Euphorbiaceae
Source: RNAcentral
GGUGUUGAUUUGGAAUAAUUUUUACUUUUGCAUGCCGGCAAAGCAAAGAAUAAAGAGCUAAUGUCCCACCUUGACCAUUGUCAUUCGCUCUGCACACAAUGAAGACAUACUUGAGGAGUGGGAUAAGAGUAAGAGAGUAUAUAAUCAAUGAAAGAGCUCCAAUUACAUCCUCUGGAUCUUUGAUUCCUCGAGGAAAUGUAUUAUAGAACACAUACAAUGGAGAAGUGCCCAAGUCUCCAUAAACCACGCCAAGACUCUGGAAUGCAAGCCGCAGAAGCAAAAGGAACGAGAAUUUCUUUUCUCUGUACAUAUUUCUAAGCCUUCCAGCUUCCUCAUCCAUAGGCUGAUCAAGCUUUUGAUCCAAAACCCACAUACUGCCUCUGUUGUUGUCACUGUCAUAAUCAAUCUCAGUUCUUGAAGUCAUUUCCAUAGUCGAUUCUGAUUGAAUCCAAUUGAAUUCCCUGGCUUUUUAACAAAG